UACGUAGGGGGCAAGCGUUGUCCGGAUUUAUUGGGCGUAAAGAGCGUGUAGGCGGUUGGGUAGGUCCGUUGUGAAAACUCGAGGCUCAACCUCGAGACGCCGAUGGAAACCCCCCAGCUAGAGUCCGGAAGAGGAGAGUGGAAUUCCUGGUGUAGCGGUGAAAUGCGCAGAUAUCAGGAAGAACACCCGUGGCUAAGGCGGCUCUCUAGUACGGUACUGACGCUGUGACGCGAAAGCGUGGGGAGCGAACAGG
RNAcentral lists this ribosomal RNA (253 nucleotides) under uncultured bacterium. Its description in RNAcentral is "partial 16S ribosomal RNA". It matches the Rfam family "Bacterial small subunit ribosomal RNA", at positions 524 to 776 of the family's 1533-position model. The record is from RNAcentral.